UACGUAGGGUGCGAGCGUUAAUCGGAAUUACUGGGCGUAAGGCGUGCGUAGACGGUUAUUUAAGUCGGAUGUGAAAGCCCCGGGCUCAACCUGGGAAUUGCAUUCGAGACUGAAUAGCUAGGGUACGGUAGAGGGAAGCGGAAUUUCCGGUGUAGCGGUGAAAUGCGUAGAUAUCGGAAGGAACAUCAGUGGCGAAAGCGGCUUCCUGGACCAGUACCGACGUUCAGGCACGAAAGCGUGGGGAGCAAACAGG
This 253-nucleotide ribosomal RNA is filed under the name uncultured bacterium. Its description in RNAcentral is "partial 16S ribosomal RNA". It matches the Rfam family "Bacterial small subunit ribosomal RNA", at positions 524 to 776 of the family's 1533-position model. The record is from RNAcentral.